Molecule: ribosomal RNA, 772 nt
Filed under: uncultured Neocallimastigales
Lineage: Eukaryota; Fungi; Neocallimastigomycota; Neocallimastigomycetes; Neocallimastigales
Description: partial large subunit ribosomal RNA
Rfam family: Eukaryotic large subunit ribosomal RNA
Source: RNAcentral
CGCAUCUGUGCAUGCAGCAUAUCAAUAAGCGGAGGAAAAGAAACUAACAAGGAUUCCCUUAGUAACGGCGAGUGAAGCGGGAAGAGCUCAAAUUUGAAAUCUUCAGGUUUUACCUUGACGAAUUGUAGUUUAAAGAAGUGUUUUCUGUUGAAGUUUUGGUAAAAGUUCUUUGGAAUAGGACAUCAUAGAGGGUGAGAAUCCCGUAUUUGACCAUUAUUUUCAGCUGUGUGAUACACUUUCAAAGAGUCGGAUUGUUUGGGAAUGCAGUCCAAAAUGGGUGGUAAAUUUCAUCUAAAGCUAAAUAUUGGCGAGAGACCGAUAGCGAACAAGUACCGUGAGGGAAAGAUGAAAAGAACUUUGAAAAGAGAGUUAAACAGUACGUGAAAUUGUCAAAAGGGAAGCGUUUGACACCAGUGUUGUUUUCUCGAAAAUCAAUUAAAAAGAGUUAGAUUUUGUUGUGUAUUGACCUUAACAGCUUGCAUUUCAAUUUUCUUGCUUUUUUAAUGCACUUUUCGUUUAACAAGUCAACAUCAGUUUCUUUUGUUGUAAAAAGGUCAUUGGAAGGUGGCUUUCUUUUCGGAGAAAGUGUUUAUAGCCUUUGACUCCUGCAAUCGGAGAGACUGAGGUCUGCAGCGUAGAUCCUUCGGGGUUAGAUACAUUUGUGCUAAGUUAUAGCUUUUUAUAGACAACUUGUUGACUAUGAUUAGUCUUGUAGCUUACUCGCUUAUGCUAUUUUACCUACGCUUAGGAUGUUGACACACGCGCGUGCUCG